UUUGAAUGGCUUGGGCCUACUUAGGCUUGUAGCAUGGUUGGGCGUGAAACAAUAAUUUCCUACUUGGUGUGGCAUGUUGCUUGGUACGCUCUAAUUUUAUUGUCCUUAGAGAGGGACACGGUGCUUAUUUUAGCAUGAGCUUGUAUUUUAUAACCUUACCCCAGUUCCUGGCAUGACAAAUUAUUUAUUUAGCAUGGCACGUGGGCUGUGACUUGUAUAUGAC
This 223-nucleotide long non-coding RNA is filed under the name Prunus persica (peach). RNAcentral describes it as "long non-coding RNA (PPER_LNC003190)". Lineage: Eukaryota; Viridiplantae; Streptophyta; Magnoliopsida; Rosales; Rosaceae. The record is from RNAcentral.